Molecule: ribosomal RNA, 400 nt
Filed under: uncultured bacterium
Lineage: Bacteria
Description: bacterial SSU rRNA
Rfam family: Bacterial small subunit ribosomal RNA
Source: RNAcentral
AGCGAACGUUAGCGGCGCGCCUAACACAUGCAAGUCGCACGAGAAAGGGAGCAAUCCCCGGUACAGUGGCGCACGGGUGAGUAACACGUAGAUGACCUUCCCUGGAGCGGUGGAUAACCUGCCGAAAGGCGGGCUAAUACAGCAUGGGACCACAUGGUUUUGACCGAGUGGUGAAAGCGGGCCUCUGUUCACAAGCUCGCGCUCUGGGAUGGGUCUGCGUCCCAUCAGCUAGUUGGUGAGGUAAUGGCUCACCAAGGCAUCGACGGGUAGCUGGUCUGAGAGGAUGACCAGCCACACUGGAACUGAGACACGGUCCAGACUCCUACGGGAGGCAGCAGUGGGGAAUCUUGCGCAAUGGGCGAAAGCCUGACGCAGCGACGCCGCGUGGGUGAUGAAGGCC